RNAcentral lists this ribosomal RNA (252 nucleotides) under uncultured bacterium. Its description in RNAcentral is "partial 16S ribosomal RNA". It matches the Rfam family "Bacterial small subunit ribosomal RNA", at positions 524 to 776 of the family's 1533-position model. The record is from RNAcentral.
UACGGAGGGUGCAAGCGUUAUCCGGAUUCACUGGGUUUAAAGGGUGCGUAGGAGGGCAGGUAAGUCAGUGGUGAAAUCCCCGAGCUUAACUUGGGAACUGCCGUUGAUACUAUCUGUCUUGAAUAUUGUGGAGGUAAGCGGAAUAUGUCAUGUAGCGGUGAAAUGCUUAGAUAUGACAUAGAACACCAAUUGCGAAGGCAGCUUCUACACAACUAUUGACUCUGAUGCACGAAAGCGUGGGGAUCAAACAGG